Molecule: ribosomal RNA, 253 nt
Filed under: uncultured bacterium
Lineage: Bacteria
Description: partial 16S ribosomal RNA
Rfam family: Bacterial small subunit ribosomal RNA
Source: RNAcentral
GACGUAGGGCGCGAGCGUUGUCCGGAUUUAUUGGGCGUAAAGAGCUCGUAGGCGGCUUGUCGCGUCGACUGUGAAAACCCGCAGCUCAACUGCGGGCCUGCAGUCGAUACGGGCAGGCUAGAGUUCGGUAGGGGAGACUGGAAUUCCUGGUGUAGCGGUGAAAUGCGCAGAUAUCAGGAGGAACACCGGUGGCGAAGGCGGGUCUCUGGGCCGAUACUGGCGCUGAGGAGCGAAAGCGUGGGGAGCGAACAGG